UGGGGAAUCUUGCACAAUGGAGGAAACUCUGAUGCAGCGACGCCGCGUGAGCGAAGAAGCCUUUCGGGGUGUAAAGCUCUUACGCCAGGGACGAUAAUGACGGUACCUGGAGAAGCAGCUGCGGCUAACUACGUGCCAGCAGCCGCGGUAAUACGUAGGCAGCAAGCGUUGUUCGGAACUACUGGGCGUAAAGGGUGCGUAGGCGGCGCUCUAAGUUUGGUGUGAAAUCUCCCGGCUUAACUGGGAGGGUGCACUGAAAACUGGGGCGCUCGAGUAUGGGAGAGGAAAGCGGAAUUCCUGGUGUAGCGGUGAAAUGCGUAGAGAUCAGGAGGAACACCUGCGGUGCAGACGGCUUUCUGGACCAUCACUGACGCUGAGGCACGAAAGCGUGGGUAGCAAACA
RNAcentral lists this ribosomal RNA (402 nucleotides) under uncultured bacterium. Its description in RNAcentral is "bacterial SSU rRNA". It matches the Rfam family "Bacterial small subunit ribosomal RNA", at positions 355 to 774 of the family's 1533-position model. The record is from RNAcentral.